AGUCCUGUAGCUCAGUGGUUAGAGCAUUCGCCUAGCAAGCGAGAGACCUGGGUUCAAUUCCCAGCAGGGUGA
Non-coding RNA from Callorhinchus milii (elephant shark), 72 nucleotides. The record is from the annotation of a RefSeq genome assembly. NCBI's taxonomy places the organism in Eukaryota, Metazoa, Chordata, Chondrichthyes, Chimaeriformes, Callorhinchidae.